GCCACGCUGCCCAUUGCAUCACAUUAUUUUCGUCCCCCAUGAGGAUGGAGCCGGUUGCAUCAACUGAAUAUCCUGUAAACGGAUUGAAAGGGCAUUCCGACGAGGCGGAAGAGCGGAUGCUGUUGUAUCAAAAGACUCUUAUGCAGGCGCCGCGCCAGGGGUGGGGUGGGGGUAGCGGAGACGAUAGUCGGAGAUGUAAACAAAUCCAACUUAUCCGCCGAGCGAUCGCAGGAGACGCCAGACACGAGCUUUUGAUUCCGAGGUAGUCCAGCCGCGAUCGCGCAGACGUUCGCAUCGCGGAUCCGUCAACGUCGACGUUACGUGGAAGUGAACGUGAAGUGACCGGUACGCACGGUAACCCUAGUGAUCCACGCGUUACGCACCGUCGGUUUAAGUGAGAAGUGCCCCUGGAUUUUCCACACAGAAUGGUCGAGAGAUGGAAUCUUUACCUGUUCAUUUGGAUACUGUUUGUAUUCUGGAUAAAAGGCGGAGGAGGGAACAAAUGUCUUUCACGGCAGUACGAGUAUGACAGCGUUGUGUGUGUUUGUAACUCGACUUACUGUGACUCUUUGCCAAAGAUCAAGAAAUACCCGUUGGGACGUAUCAGAUGUACACGUCGAGCAAGGAGGGACUUCGUUUCCAACCGGCUUACGGUUCAUUUUUCGACUCCAGCCAAAACAUCAAAAACGGCGUUGAGUUCUUAGUUCAACGGACGCACAAAUUCCAAUCAAUCCUAGGGUUUGGUGGUGCCUUUACCGACUCGGCAGGUAUCAACAUUCUGUCACUAACCAAAAGGACCCAGGAGAAUUACUAAGGUUAGUUUUUCAUAUUUAUACACUUCGAAAACUUUGAGAACGUAGUCUCUUCAAUGAGGGACAAUGGGGUCGAGAAUGAUGAAUAUGAAGGUGAACGGUGAGCUGUAACGGCGAACCGACAAUAAUUAGAACGAUCCCUGUGAGAAAUUGAAAUUCAUAACAAUUAUCCUCAAGUUGUAGAGACACUCAAUGUUUUCAGGGUAGGGGUUACUGAGUUUAAAAUACUUUUUCUCCGAUCAAUGGUGUAAGCAGAUGCUGUUAAACUUAAGAUUUGGCCUUUUAAAUAUGCCCUAAUUAUAUAUAAGUGGAAAUAAAAUUAUUUAAAAAUAAUUCUCAGUAAAAUGUAGUGACUUUUUUGUUGUACCUAAAACCUUUCAUACCGUUUUAUGAGUUUAACAACGUAAAUGUCAUUUUACAUAUUAUUUAUAAAAAUUUUCGAAUGAGUUAAUAAAACGACAAAAAUUCAAAGAAAACCGUUGGUAUGUUUUCGUAAAAAAAAGAAAAAAGAAAAAAAAACCCAAGAGCGAAAAUUUGCGACGUUACACAUGGCAUUUCUCGUAUUUAACCAUCGCUGAUGCAUGUGUUGCUUGAAAUGAGGCAUG
RNAcentral lists this long non-coding RNA (1417 nucleotides) under Bemisia tabaci. RNAcentral's name for it is "lncRNA ENSSSA1NGG013213". The record is from RNAcentral. Lineage: Eukaryota; Metazoa; Arthropoda; Insecta; Hemiptera; Aleyrodidae.